RNAcentral lists this long non-coding RNA (969 nucleotides) under Sorghum bicolor (sorghum). RNAcentral's name for it is "long non-coding RNA (SBIC_LNC010001)". Lineage: Eukaryota; Viridiplantae; Streptophyta; Magnoliopsida; Poales; Poaceae. The record is from RNAcentral.
GUGGUAUUUUUGGUAUGAGUCAUGGUGGUAUUGCUUUCUCUCUCACCCUACUCUAAUAAGGUUUUGAUAUCUGGAGCUCAUAGGUGGGAGACAACUAAUACAUACUUACAAGACAUUUACUGCAUAGUCAAACCAUGGAUCCAGAAGAACAAGUCAAUAAGUCAAAUCAAGAUGUGCAUGUGUGGUGAAUGAAUGGUGUAUGGUGAUGAUGGUGAUAACAAUGGUGAAAGUCUAAUUCUCUUUUGAGGGGAUACAUACCUUUCUUGCUCUUUUGAAACUUUUUUAGGAGAAUGAGAUGCUAUAUAUUUUCUUUUUCUUUUCUCUCAGGUGGGUAUCUUGUACCCCUAAUUCUACUGUCGGCACUUGUCCAUUUUUACCUCUCGUCUCACUUUUUCUUUUCUUUCGAGGUUCCGGGCACUUGCCCCUUUUUAUUUCCUCGUAUCUUCUCUUUUUUUAGAGCACUCGCCUCUUUAAAUAAUUUAGCAAGUGGUAGUAACCGAAAUAACUUGAGCAUUUAUUUCACGGGGAAUAAUAGGGAUAGGAUAAUGUUUUUGGCUAUUCUCUUCUAGAUAGGAGUAGAAUAAUUUUGGGUGGUUCUGGAGAUGGAAAUGGAUGGAUAUAUGUGGAUGCGUACUUCCGGAGUAGAAGCAGCAUGUGUGAGUGAAUGUGCAAGUGAAUCUUGAUUUAACCACAUGACAAGCUCCUAGGGUCUACACAGCUUGACCACACUCAAUGCUCAUAAGCAGUAAAAAGUAAAUGAAUGGUUCAUAGUCUAAUAAGCAUGUAUAUAUGGCUGUGGUAGGAUUUUAAACUCUCAUCAUACAGGAACUCAUCAUGUGAUAUUUUAAAGAUUUUCAAAGAUAAAAUUCUCUAGAAUUCUAGCAUCUCUAGGAACAGAUAAACAGUAACUCAACCUUCCCAUAUCGUAUCCGUUAACGACUUAGACUUUAGAUCAAGUACUCUUCCCAC